GGAGUGGGGGAUACCAGAAGUAGGUAGGGUAACCGCAAGGAGCCCGCUUACCACGGUAUGCUUCAUGACUGGGGUGAAGUCGUAACAAGGUAGCCGUAGGGGAACCUGCGGCUGGAUCACCUCCUUUCUAG
This 131-nucleotide ribosomal RNA is filed under the name Solobacterium sp. RNAcentral describes it as "partial 16S ribosomal RNA". It matches the Rfam family "Bacterial small subunit ribosomal RNA", at positions 1407 to 1533 of the family's 1533-position model. The record is from RNAcentral. Lineage: Bacteria; Bacillati; Bacillota; Erysipelotrichia; Erysipelotrichales; Erysipelotrichaceae.